Molecule: unclassified non-coding RNA, 223 nt
Filed under: Hevea brasiliensis (rubber tree)
Lineage: Eukaryota; Viridiplantae; Streptophyta; Magnoliopsida; Malpighiales; Euphorbiaceae
Source: RNAcentral
GUCAUAUGCAUAAGGAAUAUUUGUUUAAACUCUUUUAGUCACAAAAUUGUUCAAUGUGUGAAUAUAUAUAAUGAGAAUUGAAGUUGCUACAUUAAAAAAAAAAAAAAAAAAAAAAAANNNNNNNNNNGCUAUUUUGACUUAGUUGAGUAACCAGGGGUCUUCAUGCACCCCAUGUUGACACUCAGGCCAAAAAUUAAGCAGAAUAUGAGCAGUGCUAGUAGCC